RNAcentral lists this small RNA (153 nucleotides) under Arabidopsis thaliana (thale cress). RNAcentral's name for it is "ATSL006050". The record is from RNAcentral. Lineage: Eukaryota; Viridiplantae; Streptophyta; Magnoliopsida; Brassicales; Brassicaceae.
UUUUUAAAGAAAUGAAUUAAUUUACUCUUUAAAAUUUUAUUUCUAAUGGCAUACCUAUAUAAUUACUUACAAAAAAGAAGAUUAUAUUUCAAAUGUACUUCCCAAAUAAUAUAGUAGGAUCACUUCCAUUCCGAGUUUUCUUCUUUCUUUGAU